AUGCUGCCGCCGCCAUCCGCCGCUGCGGCCGCCAUCCGCCGCUGCAGCCGCCACUGCCGCCAUCCGCCGCCGCCGCCGCCAUCCGCCGCUGCCGCCGCCGCCAUCUGCCGCUGCCGCCGCCGCCAUCCGCUGCUGCCGCCAUCCGUUGCAUGUUCCCGCCGCCCCUGCCGUCCGUCGUCGUGCUGCGGUGCCUGCACUGGACGAGCGCCUUACGCUGGAGGCCAUGUUCGUGAGGCCCCAAGUGUACCUCAUGCUAUAGUCGCUCUGAAAAAAGGCCCACACAAUCCAAUCGCCUGUUGCUAA
RNAcentral lists this ribosomal RNA (303 nucleotides) under Triticum aestivum (bread wheat). RNAcentral describes it as "partial small subunit ribosomal RNA". The record is from RNAcentral. Lineage: Eukaryota; Viridiplantae; Streptophyta; Magnoliopsida; Poales; Poaceae.